RNAcentral lists this transfer RNA (67 nucleotides) under Staphylinidae sp. BMNH 1274257. RNAcentral's name for it is "tRNA-Arg". The record is from RNAcentral. Lineage: Eukaryota; Metazoa; Arthropoda; Insecta; Coleoptera; Staphylinidae.
AAAUAAGAAACAAUAAUUUUGUAUUUAGUUUCGACCUAAAAUUUAGACCUUUAACGGCCCUUAUUUU